This 470-nucleotide ribosomal RNA is filed under the name Flavobacterium sp. Its description in RNAcentral is "bacterial SSU rRNA". It matches the Rfam family "Bacterial small subunit ribosomal RNA", at positions 391 to 863 of the family's 1533-position model. Lineage: Bacteria; Pseudomonadati; Bacteroidota; Flavobacteriia; Flavobacteriales; Flavobacteriaceae. The record is from RNAcentral.
GCCAUGCCGCGUGCAGGAUGACGGUCCUAUGGAUUGUAAACUGCUUUUAUACGAGAAGAAACACUCCUUCGUGAAGGAGCUUGACGGUAUCGUAAGAAUAAGGAUCGGCUAACUCCGUGCCAGCAGCCGCGGUAAUACGGAGGAUCCAAGCGUUAUCCGGAAUCAUUGGGUUUAAAGGGUCCGUAGGCGGUUUAGUAAGUCAGUGGUGAAAGCCCAUCGCUCAACGGUGGAACGGCCAUUGAUACUGCUAGACUUGAAUUAUUAGGAAGUAACUAGAAUAUGUAGUGUAGCGGUGAAAUGCUUAGAGAUUACAUGGAAUACCAAUUGCGAAGGCAGGUUACUACUAAUAUAUUGACGCUGAUGGACGAAAGCGUGGGUAGCGAACAGGAUUAGAUACCCUGGUAGUCCACGCCGUAAACGAUGGAUACUAGCUGUUGGGAGCAAUCUCAGUGGCUAAGCGAAAGUGAUAA